This 465-nucleotide ribosomal RNA is filed under the name Vreelandella stevensii. RNAcentral describes it as "partial 16S ribosomal RNA". It matches the Rfam family "Bacterial small subunit ribosomal RNA", at positions 338 to 795 of the family's 1533-position model. The record is from RNAcentral. Lineage: Bacteria; Pseudomonadati; Pseudomonadota; Gammaproteobacteria; Oceanospirillales; Halomonadaceae.
CCUACGGGAGGCAGCAGUGGGGAAUAUUGGACAAUGGGGGCAACCCUGAUCCAGCCAUGCCGCGUGUGUGAAGAAGGCCCUCGGGUUGUAAAGCACUUUCAGUGAGGAAGAACGCCUGGUGGUUAAUACCCAUCAGGAAAGACAUCACUCACAGAAGAAGCACCGGCUAACUCCGUGCCAGCAGCCGCGGUAAUACGGAGGGUGCGAGCGUUAAUCGGAAUUACUGGGCGUAAAGCGCGCGUAGGUGGCUUGAUAAGCCGGUUGUGAAAGCCCCGGGCUCAACCUGGGAACGGCAUCCGGAACUGUCAAGCUAGAGUGCAGGAGAGGAAGGUAGAAUUCCAGGUGUAGCGGUGAAAUGCGUAGAGAUCGGGAGGAAUACCAGUGGCGAAGGCGGCCUUCUGGACUGACACUGACACUGAGGUGCGAAAGCGUGGGUAGCAAACAGGAUUAGAUACCCUGGUAGUC